This 253-nucleotide ribosomal RNA is filed under the name uncultured bacterium. RNAcentral's name for it is "partial 16S ribosomal RNA". It matches the Rfam family "Bacterial small subunit ribosomal RNA", at positions 524 to 776 of the family's 1533-position model. The record is from RNAcentral.
GACGUAGGGCGCGAGCGUUGUCCGGAAUUAUUGGGCGUAAAGAGCUCGUAGGCGGUCUGUUACGUCUGCUGUGAAAACCCAGGGCUUAACCCUGGGCUUGCAGUGGAUACGGGCAGACUAGAGGCAGGUAGGGGAGAAUGGAAUUCCCGGUGUAGCGGUGAAAUGCGCAGAUAUCGGGAGGAACACCGGUGGCGAAGGCGGUUCUCUGGGCCUGACCUGACGCUGAGGAGCGAAAGCGUGGGGAGCAAACGGG